Molecule: long non-coding RNA, 721 nt
Filed under: Triticum aestivum (bread wheat)
Lineage: Eukaryota; Viridiplantae; Streptophyta; Magnoliopsida; Poales; Poaceae
Description: long non-coding RNA (TAES_LNC008408)
Source: RNAcentral
GCAAUAUAGAAAACAUCAUAAAUGCCUGCCAUCCCAAGUUAUUCAUACAAUGUAAAUAUUUGACACAUGACAUGCAAGAACUGAGCUCGAACACAGAUUCUAGUGUAGUGUUAUACACUGCUAUGGAACAACAUCUGCAUAAAUAUCGUAUGACUAAAUAUUCAAACAGUUUAAUUAGAAGAGGUGAUUUGCUAUGGAACAACAUUUGCAUAAAUAUCGUAUGACUAAAUAUUCAAACAGUUUAAUUAGAAGAGGUGAUUUGCUAUGGAACAACAUCUGCAUAAAUAUCGUAUGACAACAUCGUCUUCUGAUGUUCAGUGCCUUCAUCUCUAACUGUCCUCUUCCUUCUAUGUUCCAAUCCUAGGUUAGUGUAGCCAUGCAUACUACAUAAUACCGUAUUAAAAGAAAUCACAUGUCACUGAGAAGGCAAUUCAAUAUGGUGAUAUUAGUUUCCCUCUUUCCUUCUCAUGUGCUCCUGCCAAACACUCAAGCAUAUCAAGCAUUAUAACUAUGUAAAUAUUAAUGAAGAAACAAAACAUGUUGUGAUCUGGAAGAAAAAAAAUUGGUGCUCUUAAGUCUUAAAACACUUCCAUGGGCACCACUUUUUCUAGCACAAAUCAGUAAAUAUGGCGUUUCUUCAGGAAAAAAUGUAUUUUGUUAGAAGACACAAAUAUGUUUGUUGCAAAAAGUCCAGACUUUUUUAUUCUUUUUUUUGUUUCAC